UUUAUAUUCUAUAAAUGGAUGCAG
This 24-nucleotide non-coding RNA is filed under the name Rattus norvegicus (Norway rat). Lineage: Eukaryota; Metazoa; Chordata; Mammalia; Rodentia; Muridae. The record is from RNAcentral.